AGCAUUUCAAGACCAAGCUUGACUGAAGCAGAGGAGGGAUCCUUGACUGAGGUUUAUCCCAGUGUUCAUGUAGGACCUGUUGAAAAAUUGUCUUGCAAGAAUGUACCUCAAGAUACGGAGAGAAAACAUGAGCACCGGGUUCACAUUCUUCAUUUUUGCUCAUGUCGGUCAAAUAUGCACAAUUGGAGAACACCUUGUAGGAGCACCAAUAAAAUCCAAGUGGCAGCUGGGAAACCACUCCAAAGUGUGAAGAAGUUUGAAAGAGAGCAACAGGAAAGCAGGAGUUUAAAAUAUUUUGUUUGAAAUAGGCCUCCUUUGAUAUUUUUUGAAAGAUAUCAAUAAAUAUUUGAAUUACUUCUUAUUUUGA
Molecule: non-coding RNA, 367 nt
Organism: Ictidomys tridecemlineatus (thirteen-lined ground squirrel)
Lineage: Eukaryota; Metazoa; Chordata; Mammalia; Rodentia; Sciuridae
Source: RefSeq, a predicted model, not a curated record